UGAUGCUACAUGUGUAGGUGAAGGAAAAGACGGUGUUAACGUGUUUUGAGUACCUCAGAUAUAGAGAAGCGCGUUUAGAAGUGAAAGCCCGUUUACCAUUUUACUCAUAUGAAUACAUUUUGAGGAAUAAUAUAGUAAAACUUCAAAUCCACUUGUCUUACUUCAUGAAUGCUCUGAGUCAUUUGUCAUCAAAUCAAUUAUUCAAUACAUUCGUUGUUUGAGUUACUGGACUAAAUGUAAAUAAAGCUUUACAUUGGUUUUCCUCCAACCAUUUGAGUUGAAUAACUCAUCUGGUUCGAUGUUAUCCCCGAAUGGGUUUACCAUUGUGUCUGCACAGUCUGCGUACGCAAACCCAAAAUGUCACCUGUGAUGCCCGGGACGGGUAUAAGUUCCAGUUUCACCCGAGGCUCGUUUCCUACAGCGUGAACACGACAAUUCUGAGUGAGCGGGCGCGCUGGCGGUUAUCCAGGAUUCAUAGAACCACAGUCACAUCAGUCAUAUUUGUAUAACAAUGUAAGUAAAUAUUCCUCACACACUGAGCAGUCUUUGAAAUAUCCAAAACAAAAGUAUCACUUUCUCUUCAUUUUGUCUGAAAAGUUGUCCUCGACUUUUUCCCAUUCAAACGGAACUGUUAGCACUCUGUUGUCUUGAAAGCGGUCCCCAAAAAAUAAAUAAUAAUCAUCUGCCGUGUUUGCAGACUUAGCAGCAGCGAGUUGAGGGAACAAAAGUUUUUUUUUGCCAAAGAUUUCCCGACUAUUCCCCGCGCUGGCGCUUAAUCCCCAGUAAUUAGUCUUCUUGUUUGCCGAGGAAUAUCCUUCUCGCUGCCGUUUCUUCCCCCCGCGUGAGUCAGGAGAUAAAAGUGCGUCAGGAAAAAACAAAACCAAAAAAAAAAAAAACACGUGUCCUCUUCCGCCUUGUAAACACUCGCCGUCUCUUUCUGAAGCGCACUUAUGUGACGCGUGCUCAUUAAUCAUUUCUGUUUGCUGCACUCAAGCUCGCCAGGCUAAUUAUGUUCCACAAGGAAUGGCCAUUAGAAUUUCUACCGCAUAAAUUCAUUUCCAACCGACCCCCCCCCCCCCCCCCCCCAUGGACCCCCAACCACCACCGCAUGCGUUCAGACAUAAAAAUGGGAAAUCGUUUUUCUUCCCGGAUUUUUUUUACGGCGGGAUAAUGAGUCGCGCGCGCGUGUACGGUACGCCGCGUUGGUCGGGUGCACCCGCGCGGGACAUCUGUCUAUUUUCAGCUAUAGCUGCCGGGCAGCCGAGCGCUGGCCUGUUUUACAUGGAUAGCAAAUAGCUAUUAGGCCUAACUGCCAGCCAGUUAGCCGGCGGCCAUCUGCCGCACGCUGCAAUUAUGUGGCGGGAAAUAUACUCGUUAUGAGUGCGCCGCGCAUUAACGACCCGGCGCGGCACUAAAUACGCUGGCGGAGAAGAAGGGAAGAUUUUUUUUUUGAGGGAAAACACGUUUUUUUUCCAGGGCGGAAUGUGUGGUGGUAAGAUGUGUUGCGUUUAGGGCAAAGAUGGUAGCUGACAUGUAGCAGCGUGGCUAUAAUAGUAGUUGUUGGGUUUCAAAUUAGGGUUUCAAGGCAAGGUGGGGAUGUAUUUGGUAUUCAAGUCAGGAUUUGGAAUAUAAUUCUGGUUUCAAGGUUGCGUUUGGGUUUCGGAUAUGGAUUUUAAUGAAGAGGUUCAAGACAGGUUUAGGGUUUCAAAGUCGGGAUUCCAGACCGGGUCAGAGUUUCAAAUUAAGAUUUCACGAUAGAGUUAAUGUUUCAAAAUAGGGUCUCAAGACAGUAUUAUGGUUUUAAAUUGGGGUUCAAAGACAGGGAUAAGGUUUCAAAUUAGGGUUUCAAGACAGGAUUAUGGUUUUAAAUUGGGGUUCAAAGACAGGGAUAAGGUUUCAAAUUAGGGUUUCAAGACAGGAUUAUGGUUUUAAAUUGGGGUUCAAAGACAGGGAUGAGGUUUCAAAAUAGGGUCUCAAGACAGGAUUAUGGUUUUAAAUUGGGGUUCAAAGACAGGGAUAAGGUUUCAAAUUAGGGUUUCAAGACAGGAUUAUGGUUUUAAAUUGGGGUUCAAAGACAGGGAUAAGGUUUCAAAUUAGGGUUUCAAGACAGGAUUAUGGUUUUAAAUUGGGGUUCAAUGACAGGGAUAAGGUUUCAAAUUAGGGUUUCAAGACAGGAUUAUGGUUUUAAAUUGGGGUUCAAAGACAGGGAUAAGGUUUCAAAUUAGGGUUUCAAGACAGGAUUAUGGUUUUAAAUUGGGGUUCAAAGACAGGGAUAAGGUUUCAAAUUAGGGUUUCAAGACAGGAUUCUGAUUUUAAAUUGGUGUUUCAUGCCUGGAUCAAGGUUGUAAAUUUGGGUUCCAAUACAGGGUUACGGUUUCAAAUGAAGAUGUCAAAGUCAGGUUUCAAGACUGGGUUAGGAUUUUAAACUAUGGUCAAUGUAUUGUGUUUAGGGUUUUUAAACAGAUGGUACAUGUUGAAAUGAGGGUUUUGAGUCUAGUUGGGGUUUGAAAUUUUUUGAAGCCUACAGUAGCUUUUCAAAUGAGUGUUGAGUCUUCGCUUGACACGCUAGUUGAGGCUUCACUUCCUCCUCCAAUUGCUUCAAUUGGGUCCCGCUUUGAGUCGGCGCUCGUUUUCCUCCGUCACAUUGCAGCAAUGCCGCAACACCUCCAAGCUUCUCUGCCAACGAGUAAUUAGAAGCCUCUGAUAAACUUUGCCAGCGAGCACUUAUCUCAAAUCCGGGUCAUUGUCUUUGCGCACACGCACGCACGCACAAAAUUGGUCCCUUCGUGGCCGCCACCAUCCUGGAAGCGAGCCACAUCCGACGCCGGCGAUAAUCGCGCAGAUUGUUAACAUCGACCGGGGCGCUGCCGCGUCCGCAAUUGUGCACCAAGCGGCCACCGAAUCGUAAAGGAUGUGACGGUGGCUACUUCAAGGGUUGGGUUUCAAGCUAGGGUUUUAAGACUGGGUUAGAGUUUCAAAUUGAGGGUUAAGGUUUCAAACUAGGGUUAAGGUGUGAGGGGUGUAAGGGUUUGAAGUCUGGGUUCCGGUUUUAAAUUAGGGUUUCAGGAAUGUGUUGGUGUUUUCACAUUGGAUUCAAAUUGGGUUUAAGGUUUCAAAUGAUAGUUGUAAAGGGAGGGUUAGAGUUUCAAAUUAGUGUUUGAAGCUUGAGUUGGGGUUUCAAUUUAGGGUUUCAAAGGAGGGUUAAGGUUUCAAAAUGUGGUUUUAAGGAGGAUUAGCGUUUCAUAUUAGGGUUUAAAUCUUGAUUUAGGGUUUCAAGAGCUUGAAGACAUUGUUAGGUUUUGAAAUUCAGAUUUUAGAGAAUAAUUAAGGUUUCAAAUGACGGUUUGAAGCCUGUGUGAUGGUUAGGUCGGGGUUCAAGUUGUCUUCAGGGUUUCAAAUGAGGAUGUCAAGCCAGGAUUAUGGUUUCAAAGAUGGGUUAUGGUUUCAAGGCAUGGUUUUGAGCCCUCAGUUGUGGCCGUGUGUGAAACACUUGAAUUGGUUGCGAUGUGAGGAAAGACCUUCCCCCCCCCCCCCAUUUCCUCUCUCGUGCGUGUUUGGGUCUCACUCGGAUUCCUGCGUUACCACGACGACGGCAUGUUUCCCUCAUCUCUCCUUUGUCACUGUUACCAUGGCAAUGUGUCUCUUUGCCUGCCCGCUACCUGUUUGCCUCUCACCGUCCUCUCCCAUUUCCUCCCCCCCCUUUUCUUUCUCUCCGUUUGACUUUUUUGUAGUUUCUCUUUUCUCUCCUGAUCCCAUCAUUUGGCGAUUUGCAACGACAUUUGUUUUUUUUUUUGUUUGUAUGUUUUUUUACUACCAAGAGAGAUUAAGGCUUUUUUUUAUAGAAAGCAGCUGUUGCCAUGGCGACACAAGUUUUGGAUUUGCCGUGCGUGGCUACGGUUGAAUGGGGCGAUUGAAAAGAACGCUUGAAUUUGCCUUUAAUGCCAAAAUGCAGACGGGAGCCUUUUUUUUUUUUGACGGGAAGACAGACAACUCGGAUAUGAUUUAAGAAGGAAAAAGCUGCCUUCUUGUAAAACAAUGCUUUUUAAUUUCAUGCUGUCAGUCAUGCGUCGAUGACUGCUGCACAAAGCACAUGGCUCAUGCCGCGCGGAUUUUCCGUUUGAGGAAAAGUCACGAAUAAUAAUGUCACCUAAAAUGUUUUUGGGUUUAUGUCAUGACAUGAGGUCAGAUUGACAAAGAAAAGGGGUCAUUCCUCAUCGAGGCCUUCAAGAAAUAUGACUUAAUGUGGUUUGUUUCAAAUUUACUUUUUACCUUUCGACACUUAUUGCAAGUCACAUUUGACAUUUUCAAAAAUAAAUCCAUAUUUUUUUUGCAUCAUUCCAUCAUGGCAGGAGUUCAGACUGGCAAAAUAGUGACACAGUUCGAAAUUUCUCAUCAAGGUCUCGAAUUUGAUGCGUGACUCAUUAUGUGGUUUGUGGAGAAUUACAGUUUAGAGCAGCCGAUUCUUUAACUUCAUUUGACAUACAUUAUUGCAUCAGCACGUCAGGUCUUAUUGCCAA
Hippocampus zosterae (dwarf seahorse) is the source of this 4517-nucleotide long non-coding RNA. RefSeq lists it as uncharacterized. The transcript is spliced from 4 exons. NCBI's taxonomy places the organism in Eukaryota, Metazoa, Chordata, Actinopteri, Syngnathiformes, Syngnathidae. The record is from RefSeq and is a predicted model, not a curated record.